This is a long non-coding RNA of Dermacentor albipictus, 266 nucleotides long. RefSeq lists it as uncharacterized. Lineage: Eukaryota; Metazoa; Arthropoda; Arachnida; Ixodida; Ixodidae. The record is from RefSeq and is a predicted model, not a curated record.
CAGACUCCUCAAGGAUGGUAAGGAGGUUGAAACACAUCCUUGAUAAAACAAGUGGUGCCGGUGGUGCUGAGCCCAUCGCAGUCGCGUCAGCACCAAAAAGGCUAUAAGAUAACUUCAGCCUGACACUCCAUCUGGCAUACCCUUCCGACACCUUACUCAUCCAAGGCACUAGCACGUUGGACCUCGGGGAAGAAAUCCUCCUUGAUGAGGCCACGCUGGCACGACUGCGGCGAGACGCAAGAAACACAGGCUCAAGAAUUGCCCGG